Molecule: transfer RNA, 86 nt
Filed under: Nautilia sp.
Lineage: Bacteria; Pseudomonadati; Campylobacterota; Epsilonproteobacteria; Nautiliales; Nautiliaceae
Description: tRNA-Leu
Rfam family: tRNA
About the family: Transfer RNA (tRNA) molecules are approximately 80 nucleotides in length.
Source: RNAcentral
GCCGAAGUGGUGAAAUUGGUAGACACGACGGACUCAAAAUCCGUUAGGCUUUGCCUGUGAGGGUUCGAGUCCCUCCUUCGGCACCA